GAUGAACGCUGGCGGCGUGCCUAAUACAUGCAAGUCGAGCGAACGGACGAGAAGCUUGCUUCUCUGAUGUUAGCGGCGGACGGGUGAGUAACACGUGGAUAACCUACCUAUAAGACUGGGAUAACUUCGGGAAACCGGAGCUAAUACCGGAUAAUAUUUUGAACCGCAUGGUUCAAAAGUAAAAGACGGUCUUGCUGUCACUUAUAGCUGGAUCCGCGCUGCAUUAGCUAGUUGGUAAGGUAACGGCUUACCAAGGCAACGAUGCAUAGCCGACCUGAGAGGGUGAUCGGCCACACUGGAACUGAGACACGGUCCAGACUCCUACGGGAGGCAGCAGUAGGGAAUCUUCCGCAAUGGGCGAAAGCCUGACGGAGCAACGCCGCGUGAGUGAUGAAGGUCUUCGGAUCGUAAAACUCUGUUAUGAGGGAAGAACAUAUGUGUAAGUAACUGUGCACAUCUUGACGGUACCUAAUCAGAAAGCCACGGCUAACUACGUG
RNAcentral lists this ribosomal RNA (497 nucleotides) under uncultured bacterium. Its description in RNAcentral is "partial 16S ribosomal RNA". It matches the Rfam family "Bacterial small subunit ribosomal RNA", at positions 28 to 507 of the family's 1533-position model. The record is from RNAcentral.